This 450-nucleotide ribosomal RNA is filed under the name uncultured bacterium. RNAcentral's name for it is "partial 16S ribosomal RNA". It matches the Rfam family "Bacterial small subunit ribosomal RNA", at positions 354 to 796 of the family's 1533-position model. The record is from RNAcentral.
GUGGGGAAUCUUCCGCAAUGGACGAAAGUCUGACGGAGCAACGCCACGUGAGUGAUGAAGGUCUUCGGAUUGUAAAGCUCUGUUAAUCGGGACGAAAGAGCCUAGUGUGAAUAAUGCUAGGAAGUGACGGUACCGGAAUAGAAAGCCACGGCUAACUACGUGCCAGCAGCCGCGGUAAUACGUAGGUGGCAAGCGUUGUCCGGAAUUAUUGGGCGUAAAGCGCGCGCAGGCGGAUCUGCCAGUCUGUCUUAAAAGUUCGGGGCUUAACCCCGUGAUGGGAUGGAAACUACAGAUCUAGAGUAUCGGAGAGGAAAGUGGAAUUCCUAGUGUAGCGGUGAAAUGCGUAGAUAUUAGGAAGAACACCAGUGGCGAAGGCGACUUUCUGGACGAAAACUGACGCUGAGGCGCGAAAGCCAGGGGAGCGAACGGGAUUAGAUACCCUUGUAGUCC